This 296-nucleotide ribosomal RNA is filed under the name uncultured bacterium. RNAcentral describes it as "partial 16S ribosomal RNA". It matches the Rfam family "Bacterial small subunit ribosomal RNA", at positions 334 to 627 of the family's 1533-position model. The record is from RNAcentral.
GACGUCCUACGGGGGGCAGCAGUGAGGAAUAUUGGUCAAUGGUCGGGAGACUGAACCAGCCAAGCCGCGUGAGGGAUGAAGGUACAGAGUAUCGUAAACUUCUUUUGUCAGGGAACAAAGGCGGGGACGUGUCCCCGGAUGAGUGUACCUGAAGAAAAAGCAUCGGCUAACUCCGUGCCAGCAGCCGCGGUAAUACGGAGGAUGCGAGCGUUAUCCGGAUUUAUUGGGUUUAAAGGGUGCGUAGGCGGACUGUUAAGUCAGCGGGAAAAGCCCGGGGCUCAACCCCGGCGAGCCGU